Molecule: ribosomal RNA, 428 nt
Filed under: bacterium
Lineage: Bacteria
Description: partial 16S ribosomal RNA
Rfam family: Bacterial small subunit ribosomal RNA
Source: RNAcentral
UAGGGAAUCUUCCACAAUGGACGCAAGUCGGAUGGAGCAACGCCGCGUGAGUGAAGAAGGUUUUCGGAUCGUAAAGCUCUGUUGUUGGUGAAGAAGGAUAGAGGUAGUAACUGGCCUUAUUUGACGGUAAUCAACCAGAAAGUCACGGCUAACUACGUGCCAGCAGCCGCGGUAAUACGUAGGUGGCAAGCGUUGUCCGGAUUUAUUGGGCGUAAAGCGAGCGCAGGCGGAAGAAUAAGUCUGAUGUGAAAGCCCUCGGCUUAACCGAGGAACUGCAUCGGAAACUGUUUUUCUUGAGUGCAGAAGAGGAGAGUGGAAGUCCAUGUGUAGCGGUGGAAUGCGUAGAUAUAUGGAAGAACACCAGUGGCGAAGGCGACUCUCUGGUCUGCAACUGACGCUGAGGCUCGAAAGCAUGGGUAGCGAACAGG